Molecule: long non-coding RNA, 3614 nt
Organism: Dromaius novaehollandiae (emu)
Lineage: Eukaryota; Metazoa; Chordata; Aves; Casuariiformes; Dromaiidae
Exons: 2
Source: RefSeq, a predicted model, not a curated record
CGGCUCCCCUCCCUUCCCGCUGCCUCUCUCUUUCUCUUUCUCUCUCUACUUUCCAUCGGGCUUGAUCUUAGCAGGCCUCGCAAGAGGGAAGGAGGAAGGAGUGAAGGAGAGCGAGAGUUAGCGGUAGGAUGGGGAGGUGAUCGCAGUGUGAUGAGCCCGGAGAGUGGAGAAAGUCCAGGAAGACCCGACUCGGGCGUUUUAAAUACCGAGCUCCAGGACGUGGAGCCAAGGUGGAACUCCACCAUCUGCACAACCCAGAAGGAGCGGGUGUCCUACGCCAGCUCUCGGGGCAGGACGCUGGGCUCCAUGUUUCCUAGAGGAGGACAGUUGCUGCACCACACCGCUGCGGUUGUUGGGAGUGCGUGGUUUGAUGGCUAGGACGAGGCAAUCACGCCCCAGUUGGACCCGUGUGCCGAUGGCUGGGUGUCGCUCAAACACCAGGGCACGCGUGGGGUGGAAGUACUGCUGCAGUAGCCAUGGCUGGACUUGUGACCGUGUUGAUGAUGUGGUGUAGGGUCCUAAGUGCAAAAAUUGGAGGAUCUGGCAGGUUUCACAUAGACAAAGUUUUUACUUUGUCGUGGUCUGUCAAAGUCUCUAACGAAGGUCACAGCUAAGGGAUGACAUUGCUCUAUUAGGACUUUAUUUCGCUGAAUGGGACACAGACCUUCUUUGAAGUGAAAAGCACUUACACUCUCCUAAGUGGUGUUAAGUGCUCAGAAGCACAUGAUGGUUUGAGUAGUCUCAUUGACCUUUUUCCCCACCAUUUUGCGAUAGUUGCCGUAUGAGUUUGUAGUUGUAACGAUACUGUGUAUCAACUGUGUUACUGUUGUGGCUCCAGCCCAGCGGUGGGGGCUCUGUGAAGAACAACCUUGACAGGAAAAAGUUAGUAAUACAAUUGCGUAUUAGUAACUUCUGGGGUGUGUAGAGGAUCUUUGCCUGGUCUCCUCCAAGUUUUCCUUAGAUGUCUGGAUUAGUUCUGGAAAGAAACAGAACUAGUGCCUCUUGGUUAGUGGUGGCCAUCUUGCUUCAGCUCCUGCUCUUCGUUUAAAAUUUCUGCUCUCUUAAGAUCUUUGUGUUAUUACAAGAAGAUGACAUUUGGCAACUGGAUGUGGGCUGUGUGUUUAAUACUAGUGUGGCAUAUAAGUAAUGUUGCUCAAGUAAUAACACAGCAGGAAGAUGCUCUGUGAGACAGCAGACUGCUGACCCAGGCUGCAGUCGGUUUUCGGCCCAGUCACUUUGCAGGCGUUCGCAUGGAGGAGCGCGAAGCCGUCACCGGCUACGCUGUGAGCUGCACCACGGCAUUGUCAAGUGCUGUGGUUCGAAGGCUGUGAAUCACUUCCUUUCUUUGUUAUUCCAUUUGGACUAGUUUUGCUUAUCACUGUGUAAUAUGGAAGGGUUUAUCCACCAGAACAGGUAGGUAGAAAUAUGGCUUUUCAUUUCUUGUUUGGGAUGUCUGGAAUGAGUAUGACCUUCUCAGCUGGGCGUGCUUCAUUAAAACUUCGUCUACCUGUCGGAUGCGUGGAAAAAAUAUGUACAGGCCUCAAAUUAUCAAUCUAGCUACAUUUUGCAUCUUCACUGUGAAGCUCUUGUGAUGGAGAGUCAGAAGAAAUGUCUAGAAAGCUGAAGAGUUUUUAUGCCUAACAGGUAGCAAGUUUGCGGAUGGUAGCUUUAUUUAAACGACAACUCAGCUUUGCUUCUUCCCGUCCCAGAAACCAAACCGCAUCAAAGGAACUCAUUAGAAAGGAGCUCUUGCAGGCUGUGAUGUCCAAUACCAGUUAGACCACACGUGAGAUGAAGCUCUUCCCACCAGCACUUUACGCUUUCAGAGCUGACACCUCAUUUCUUGCUUGGAUACACCAUUGUUUUCUGUCCUUCUUUUGAACAACUAAAGCAUUAUGAGGAUGGCAGGAUGACCAUUAAACAGUUUCAAGAUUUUAUCUUGAACUAUGUUAUUCUCCUGAAUAAUUUGGGGUUUAUGGGACUAUUUUAAAGCCAUACUACACUUGAUUCCUCUUUGACUCCAUUAGUAACAUCUGAGUCCUUCAAGGUUUCUUACCGAAUUUCAGCAAAUGAGUCAAUAAUAAUUUCCUCUGCAAUUGAGAGUAUUUAAUGCUGGCUGCAGAAUUAUUUUCAUUAUAGCUGAUUGUGGUCUAGGAGUCAUGAUAAAACACAUUUAAAAAGUAGAGUGUGCAUUACCCACACUAUAUUUUUGCUCAUGUAUUGGUGGCACUCAAGAAACUUAAUUCACUAUAAAAUUUAAAAUUUCAGAAAUAAAUGUGACUAUUUCUCCUAUUAGUCCAUCCAGUUUCUACUGUCAUGUUAUUUUAGAAAAUUUUUUAACCUUUUAAACUUAAAGAUAAAUUCAAUGAAUAUCUUUACAUUAAAGCUAAUUAAGACCACAGACAAAAUAACCUCAGUAUUCUGUUAACUGGGUGCCUUUUUCCAGUUAAAGUGGCUUCAAAUCAUCUGAAAUAUGUCCUAUUAUAUUUCUUUUAGGAGCAUGAAAUAGUUAUCAAUUUAUUCCAGAAAUUAAAGACUAUCUAUCGAGAAUUCUAUGUUUACUGGUAGUCAGUUCUAGAUUUGUUUUUUAGAACCAGGACACUUUGCAUCUAAAGAGAGUUACUUCCAUUAUAGGUGAGAAGGUAGGUGUUAAUUUUGAAAGAAAAAUAAAAGAAGGUUUAUUUUUGCGUAAAUAUAAAGACUUUUACCUUAACACUGAGGAAUGUGGUACAUAUUUUAGUAUAAUUCCCAAGCAAUAUAAAAUGCUAGUUUGCCUUUGCUUGACUUCCAUGUGCUUGGGCCUUCGAGCUUUUCUGAGUGGGUGGAAGAGUCAUGGAGUAUUCCUUCAUUCCCCCCCCCCCAGUAAGAGAGCAUCUGUUAAAUAUUAAAGUGCUAUGCUGCAUAUUCUUUAGUAUUAACAAAUUAAAAGUAAAGGACUGGCAAAAGGUAUCUGCAAUGGCCUUCAUUAACACACCCCUAUUCUGCUUUAUGAUUCAAAUACAUUGUUGGAUGCGUUGAUAGAAAAUCUCAUUAAUUUUGACAGCAAACAGAAAUGGUAAUACAUUUGAAAGUGAAUACCAUUUUUGUUGACUCACAUUAAAGUUUUUGUCACUGCUUUGGAGUAACAUUUUGAAUUCUCCAUCUUGAAUUUGGUUCCCACAUUAUCUUAACACAAAUGGUUCCCCCAUUAUCUUAACACACACAGUCUCACAAAGGCUGUGGUAUUAAAAUAUAUGACAUGGUUUUACAGGAAAAAAUUUUUAAUAUGAACAGCGCACCUAGCUUUUUUUUUCCCCCUACCACAGAGCAUCCUGUUUAAUGCAAUAAAAUUCAACUUUAUUGAUGAAUAUAUGGAUAAGUUAUCAAUAUUGUAGAAAUGCUCAUGAAGCUGACACUUUUUCAUUUAAUGUUUUGAUUUUUCAAAUUUUAGAUAAUAAACACAAUUAUACAUUCAGCGACAAUGAUGUUGAAAUCUAAAGUGUUAUUUUAACAUUGUGUCAGAUUAUAUUACAACACCUUAGGGAGUCAUCUAAAGAUUAUAGCUAAGUCUCUGAAAUGGACUGUCACCUGCAUGUAUUUCUGGAUCACAGUAAUAAAAUCACUUUUAAAACUCA